RNAcentral lists this ribosomal RNA (468 nucleotides) under uncultured bacterium. RNAcentral describes it as "partial 16S ribosomal RNA". It matches the Rfam family "Bacterial small subunit ribosomal RNA", at positions 28 to 507 of the family's 1533-position model. The record is from RNAcentral.
GACGAACGCUGGCGGCGUGCUUAACACAUGCAAGUCGAACGGAAAGGCCCUGCUUUUGUGGGGUGCUCGAGUGGCGAACGGGUGAGUAACACGUGAGUAACCUGCCCUUGACUUUGGGAUAACUUCAGGAAACUGGGGCUAAUACCGUAUAGGAGCUCCUGCUGCAGGGUGGGGGUGGGAAAGUUUCGGCGGUUGGGGAUGGACUCGCGGAUUAUCAGCUUGUUGGUGGGGUAGUGGCUUACCAAGGCUUGGACGGGUAGCCGGCCUGAGAGGGUGACCGGCCACAUUGGGACUGAGGUACGGCCCAGACUCCAACGGGAGGCAGCAGUGGGGAAUAUUGCACAAUGGGCGGAAGCCUGAUGCAGCAACGCCGCGUGCGGGAUGACGGCCUUCGGGUUGUAAACCGCUUUCGCCUGUGACGACGCGUGAGUGACGGUAAUGGGUAAAGAAGCACCGGCUAACUACGUG